Molecule: ribosomal RNA, 436 nt
Filed under: Contracaecum septentrionale
Lineage: Eukaryota; Metazoa; Nematoda; Chromadorea; Rhabditida; Anisakidae
Description: partial small subunit ribosomal RNA
Source: RNAcentral
CCUAAAAGUCUCCGUACGUGCAUAAAUUCCAUUUGCGCGUAAUCGUGAGCCAUGCAGCGAGCCAUACACAUGUGGUGGCAGCCGUCGGCUGUUUUUUCAUCUGGCUGACAAUGGCUUAUGGCUUGCUGUGUGUUGAGGGGAAGUGAGUGAUCCGAUAUGCUAGAAAGGCGGAUCGAUAGCGCUCAUUUCCUCGUUAUUCUCAACAACGGUGUCCACUUUGGCGUCUACGCCUCACCUAGCUAUCGCCCGGACCGUCGGUAGCAAUGAAAGGUGGGGAGAAAGUUCCUCUAUAUGAGUUGAGCAGACUUAAUGAGCCCGGCAUGAGGGCCGCCAAAACCCAAAACACAACCGUUUCUUUUCAUUUCUAUAGUUGAUCGAUGAGUCGAGGCGUUCGCCGUUCCACAACUUGUUGUCGGAUAUGCGGGCGUGUAGAUGA